Molecule: unclassified non-coding RNA, 358 nt
Filed under: Hevea brasiliensis (rubber tree)
Lineage: Eukaryota; Viridiplantae; Streptophyta; Magnoliopsida; Malpighiales; Euphorbiaceae
Source: RNAcentral
GUUCACAUCACCUCGCAGAACACAUCCAUACCAAAUAGAAGCAUUACGUCCGACAUGAACAUCACCAAUUAGAGAUGCACUUGGGGCCACAAAAGCAUCUUUAUCAACCGUUGGUGUUUUGUUAAACAAGUUCAUAAGAGUUCUAUGCCUUGACAGUUGUUCAUGGAAGUAGUAGUUUCCUUGGAGGCGGCAGCCCAAACGAUCAAUGGCUUGACCCGUUUCCCGGAUCCAGAAUCCGACUGUGUAGAUUGCUUUGCCCAGCGUACCCAUAUUCGUGAAAAAUGUGAUUCUGCAGAAGAAGGGAUUGUUCAGUUAAUUUAGCUCCAACACUGUUUUUGAAGAAGAAAAUGGAAUGAGU